GCCCACAUGGUCUAGUGGUAAGAUCCCCCGUUCGGGUAUGUUCUGCUUCGGGGGGGUCCUCAGUUCAAAUCUGGGUGUGGGCC
Molecule: non-coding RNA, 83 nt
Organism: Calocera viscosa TUFC12733
Lineage: Eukaryota; Fungi; Basidiomycota; Dacrymycetes; Dacrymycetales; Dacrymycetaceae
Source: the annotation of a GenBank genome assembly